AACGAACGCUGGCGGCAUGCCUAACACAUGCAAGUCGAACGAAGCCUUCGGGCUUAGUGGCGCACGGGUGCGUCACGCGUGGGAAUCUGCCCCUUGCUUCGGAAUAACAGUUAGAAAUGACUGCUAAUACCGGAUGAAGUCUUCGGACCAAAGAUUUAUCGGCAAGGGAUGAGCCCGCGUAGGAUUAGGUAGUUGGUGGGGUAAAGGCCUACCAAGCCGACGAUCCUUAGCUGGUCUGAGAGGAUGAUCAGCCACACUGGGACUGAGACACGGCCCAGACUCGUACGGGAGGCAGCAGUGGGGAAUAUUGGACAAUGGACGAAAGUCUGAUCCAGCAAUGCCGCGUGAGUGAUGAAGGCCUUAGGGAUGUAAAGCUCUUUUACCAGGGAUGAUAAUGACAGUACCUGGAGAAUAAGCUCCGGCUAACUCCGUG
This 433-nucleotide ribosomal RNA is filed under the name uncultured bacterium. Its description in RNAcentral is "partial 16S ribosomal RNA". It matches the Rfam family "Bacterial small subunit ribosomal RNA", at positions 29 to 507 of the family's 1533-position model. The record is from RNAcentral.